UGGGGAAUAUUGCACAAUGGGGGAAACCCUGAUGCAGCGACGCCGCGUGAAGGAAGAAGUAUCUCGGUAUGUAAACUUCUAUCAGCAGGGAAGAUAGUGACGGUACCUGACUAAGAAGCCCCGGCUAA
Molecule: ribosomal RNA, 128 nt
Filed under: uncultured bacterium
Lineage: Bacteria
Description: partial 16S rRNA
Rfam family: Bacterial small subunit ribosomal RNA
Source: RNAcentral